GAUGAACGCUGGCGGCGUGCUUAACACAUGCAAGUCGAACGAGAAGUGACGACGUAUACCUUCGGGCGGAAGGCUUUAUUUCGAGUGGCGGCCGGGGGAGUAACGCGUGGGUAACCUGCCUCCUACAGGGGGAUAACAGUUGGACACGACUGUUAAUACCGCAUCAGACCACAGCACCGCAUGGUUCGGCGGUAAAAACUCCGGUGGUAUGAGAUGGACCCGCGUUCGAUUAGCCAGUUGGCGGGGGAACUGCCCACCAAAGCGACGAUCGAUAGCCGAGCUGAGAGGAUGCCCGGCCACAUUGGGAAUGAGACACGGCCCACACUCCGACGGGAGGCAGCAGUGGGGAAUAUUGCAGAAUGGGGGAAACCCUGAUGCAGCGACGCCGCGGGAGUGAAGCAUUAUUUCGGUAUGUAAAGCUCUAUCAGAAGGGAAGAAAAUGACGGUACCUGAGGAAGAAGCCCCGGCUAACUACGUG
This 478-nucleotide ribosomal RNA is filed under the name uncultured bacterium. RNAcentral's name for it is "partial 16S ribosomal RNA". It matches the Rfam family "Bacterial small subunit ribosomal RNA", at positions 28 to 507 of the family's 1533-position model. The record is from RNAcentral.